Molecule: ribosomal RNA, 253 nt
Filed under: uncultured bacterium
Lineage: Bacteria
Description: partial 16S ribosomal RNA
Rfam family: Bacterial small subunit ribosomal RNA
Source: RNAcentral
UACGUAGGGUGCGAGCGUUAUUCGGAAUUACUGGGCGUAAAGCGUGCGCAGGCGGUUGUGCAAGUCAGAUUUGAAAUCCCCGGGCUCAACCUGGGAACUGCAUUUGUGACUGCACGGCUGGAGUGCGGCAGAGGGGGAUGGAAUUCCGCGUGUAGCAGUGAAAUGCGUAGAUAUGCGGAGGAACACCGAUGGCGAAGGCAAGCCCCUGGGCCUGCACUGACGCUCAUGCACGAAAGCGUGGGGAGCAAACAGG